Molecule: ribosomal RNA, 497 nt
Filed under: uncultured bacterium
Lineage: Bacteria
Description: partial 16S ribosomal RNA
Rfam family: Bacterial small subunit ribosomal RNA
Source: RNAcentral
GAUGAACGCUGGCGGCGUGCCUAAUACAUGCAAGUCGAGCGAACAGACGAGGAGCUUGCUCCUCUGACGUUAGCGGCGGACGGGUGAGUAACACGUGGAUAACCUACCUAUAAGACUGGGAUAACUUCGGGAAACCGGAGCUAAUACCGGAUAAUAUAUUGAACCGCAUGGUUCAAUAGUGAAAGACGGUUUUGCUGUCACUUAUAGAUGGAUCCGCGCCGCAUUAGCUAGUUGGUAAGGUAACGGCUUACCAAGGCAACGAUGCGUAGCCGACCUGAGAGGGUGAUCGGCCACACUGGAACUGAGACACGGUCCAGACUCCUACGGGAGGCAGCAGUAGGGAAGCUUCCGCAAAGGGCGAAAGCCUGACGGAGCAACGCCGCGUGAGUGAUGAAGGUCUUCGGAUCGUAAAACUCUGUUAUUAGGGAAGAACAAAUGUGUAAGUAACUAUGCACGUCUUGACGGUACCUAAUCAGAAAGCCACGGCUAACUACGUG